RNAcentral lists this long non-coding RNA (615 nucleotides) under Arabidopsis thaliana (thale cress). RNAcentral describes it as "ncRNA (AT3G05295)". The record is from RNAcentral. Lineage: Eukaryota; Viridiplantae; Streptophyta; Magnoliopsida; Brassicales; Brassicaceae.
AAUUAGACAAAGUCUGUAAGUGCGGUUGAGGUAAAACAAAUAGCAGGAAAUGAACGAGACAAUAAAUUUGUUAACGAAGUUCAGUUUUUCCUAUUCCCUGGGACCAAGUCCAAAUUCGACUUCACUAGACCAAGAAAGCAAAUUACAACCUAUUCGCAAACGUGUAAAACAAGCACAUCCCUCUUGAUUUACCGCUCCCUUCUAUUAAAGUGAAACUUUAAGGAUAAUCUCUACUCUUAACUAAACUCCCUCUAAGUCUAGAUUUAAUCAGGAUAACCUAACCCUGAGCUAAACUCGCCAUGAAACUAGACUUCAAUUCUACAAGUCUCUGAAACAACCUUCACACACCACCAAACAAACUUGAUCACACAAACACCAACACCGCAAAACUACGUCACACAAAAUCUCACAGAAAGCUCUCAAAGGUUUCUUCUUUAUGCUUCAGCUCUCUUGCCUCUCCAAGACGUCUUAGCUCCUCCUUAUAUAGCCAAAACGAUUGGCUAAUCACCAUAGGAGAAGAUUUCUUUUUUCCAUAAGAAAAAGUAAAUUUUCUUUUUACAAUUUUCUUUUUUCUCAUGAAACUUCACUUUCAUGAAGUCUUCCAAAUAUCUUUAA